Molecule: RNA transcript, 2817 nt
Organism: Passer domesticus (house sparrow)
Lineage: Eukaryota; Metazoa; Chordata; Aves; Passeriformes; Passeridae
Exons: 3
Source: RefSeq, a predicted model, not a curated record
UCCGCCGCACGGAGGAAGAUGGAGCCCCGCGCCGCCCCCCCGCCGCCGCCCCCGCCUCCGGCCCGCCCGGCCCCGCCGCCGCCACCGCCCGCCCAGGGACGGGCUGGGCUGAGCUGGGCUGGGGCACCCCGGCCCGAGGGGCUCCCCGGGGCCCGCAGCCCCCCGAAAGCGCCGCAGCCCCAGGAGAGCUCCGCGGAGCUGCGCAGCCCCGGGAGGGGUCCCCGGUGUCCGCAGCCCCGCAAGCCCGCUUGGCUCCCCAGAGCUCGUCCGCUCCCCAGACCCCCUCAGCUCCCCGCAGCCCCGGCAGGGCUCCCCAGAGCUCCGCAGCCCCUGAUUCCCUCAGGCCCGGGAGGGCGCCUCAGUGUCCACAGCCCCCCGAGCCGCCUCAGCCCUAUCGGGGCUCCCCGGUUCCCUCAGCCCCCGAGCCGCCUCAGCCCUAUCGGGGCUCCCCGGUUCCCUCAGCCCCCCGAGCCGCCUCAGCCCUAUCGGGGCUCCCCGGUUCCCUCAGCCCCCCGAGCCGCCUCAGCCCUAUCGGGGUUCCAUGUUUCCCUCAGCCCCCUGAGCCGCCCCAGCCUUAUCGGGGCUCCCCGGUUCCCUCAGCCUCCCAAACCUCCUCAGCCCGCCAGUCCCCUCAGCCCCGGCAGGGCUCCCCAGAGCUCCGCAGCCCCUGAUUCCCUCAGGCCCGGGAGGGCGCCUCAGUGUCCCCCAAACCGCCUCAGCCCUAUCGGGGCUCCCCGGUUCCCUCAGCCCCCCAAAACCACCUCAGCCCGCCAGUCCCCUCAGCCCCGGCAGGGCUCCCCAGAGCUCCGCAGGCCCCCGAGCCCCCUCAGCCCUGUCAGGGCUCCCUGGUUCCCUCAGGCCCCCGAAUCUCCUCAGCGCUCUGGUUCCCUCAGCUGCCUCAGGUCUCCUCACCCCCCAGAUCCCCUCGGUUCUCAGUCCGCCCCACUCCCGCAGCAUCACCAGCCCACCCAAAUUUCUGCAACCCUCAAAUCUCCUCAGCCCACUCAAAUCUCAGCCCACUUCGUUCACCUCAGUACCCCCAGCAUCUCCACAGACACCCGUUUUCCCUCAGCCCACCCAAAGUUCCUCAAUGCCCUGGAUCUCCUCAGUUCUCCUCUGACCCUGCCAAGUCUCAGAUCCCUCAAAUCUCAACUGCAUGCUUCCCUCACUGCCUCCAGGACUUCCCAGUGUCCUCACCUCCCCAAAUAUCCUCAGAAUCCCCCAAAAUCUCCUCAGCCCCCAAAUCCUCUUAGCCCACCCAAAGAUCCUCAAAUGCCCAGAUCCCCCUAGACCUUCAGUUUCACUCAGACCCCCCAAAUCUCAGACAUCCCCAGAUCUCCUCAGACCCCCAGUUGCACUCAGAUCCCCCCAAAUCUCCUCAGAUCCGCCAGAUCCCUUCAGUUCCUUCCAUUCUCCUCAGCCUCCUCCAGUUCCCCCAAAUCUCCUCACGCCCCCAGUUUCCUCAGCACCUCCAGGAUUCCUCAAUAUCGCCACCUCCCCAUAUCUCCUCAGACCACCCCAAAAUUUCCUCAGGCCCCACAAAUCUCCUCAGUCUCCUCAAAAUCUCCUCAGACCCCUCAAAAUCUCCUCAGACCCCCAGUUCCCCCAACUUCCUCCAGGUCUCCUCCUCUCCCCUAAAACUCUUCCACCCGAUUCCCCUCAGCCCCUCCAAAAGCUCCUCAUGCUCCCAAUUCCUCCCAGCCCCACCAAGCUGUCACCCCUCCAUUUCUCCUCAGCCCAUGCAAAGCUCCUCAGCACUCUUGAUUCUCUUCAGCCCCCUUGGUUUUCCUCAGCCCCCCUCAGUUCUCCUCAAUCCCCCUGAACUCCCUUAGCCCCCCAAAUCUCCUCAGCCCCCACCAGGUCCUAGCCUUUCCCAGUUCCCCUAACACCCACCCCCUAGUUCCUCUAUCCCCCCCAGUUCCCCCCUGGUGCCCCUCAGCCCCUCUCCCUGAGGAUUUCCCCCAUUUCCCAGGGGGUCUCCAGCUCCUCUGUGGGUCACUUGCAGCCCCCCAAAUCCACAGACACUGCAUACAGGGGAAGGAAGAGCAGGGCAAAUCCCGUCCAUUCCUCUUCUCCUAGGUCCAGGGGAUUUACCCUGGAGCUUCUGAGUUUUCACUUUAAAAAUAACUUAAAAAAAAAAAAAAAAAAAAAAAAAAAACAACAACAAAAAAAAAAAAUUAAGGCUCUUUUUCAUGUUUUCCCAAAAUGUUCUGUCGCAGAGGAGGACGGAGAGGAGAGGGGUGUCCUGAAAGGAAAUGGUGCCUCCGAGAGAGGAGGAGUGGAGUUAUCCAAUCCCAAGGCUGCAUUGGGAGGAGACGGUGUGGGUCACUGCUGAGUUUGUGGGAUCCACCAAGGAUUGGAUAGAUCCAACCGCGAUUAAAAGGAACGGAAGGCGGGAGUGGAAGGAAAUCAUGCUGGAAUCACCACCACAGGGUUUUGGCAAAGCCACGGGGCUGUUAGACCUGCGCAGAGCAGCGUCCCCUUCCCAUCCCACCAGCGCCAGAUCCGCCCGGGACCUGCAGCUGACUCAGCAGAGGAAAGGAGAUUUUUAUGGGUGGCAAACUGGGAUUUUCUGGUGAGAAAUGUGGUCCCUGAGUGGUGACACUGGGAUCCCCUUGGACUUUUCCAGUGUUCCCAAAGCCUGUGCCCCGGAUCAUGGCACACCGGAAAGGGAAUUCUUUGGGAAACACCUUCAUCCCACCCACCUACUUGUUUCCUUUCCCAAAAAUCCCUUGUUUUACAUAAAAACAUGGUUGAAAGCACCUACCAGAGUGGGCUCCCCUGGGAUGGGUGGGCUCACCAAGCAUUGGGGAUGCC